UUUGGGUUAUACAUGAUAUU
This 20-nucleotide non-coding RNA is filed under the name Arabidopsis thaliana (thale cress). Lineage: Eukaryota; Viridiplantae; Streptophyta; Magnoliopsida; Brassicales; Brassicaceae. The record is from RNAcentral.